Molecule: microRNA precursor, 135 nt
Filed under: Gossypium barbadense (sea-island cotton)
Lineage: Eukaryota; Viridiplantae; Streptophyta; Magnoliopsida; Malvales; Malvaceae
Also listed under: 1 other name
Description: MIR7502 microRNA precursor family
Rfam family: MIR7502 microRNA precursor family
Source: Rfam by way of RNAcentral
UAUUUAUCAAUUUGUACUGUUAAAAACGGGUUUGGCUAGCAGAAUAACGAUACAGUGAUGCAUGGCGUGCUAUGUGUACUUUGUUGACGUAUAGAGACCAGUUUUUAACAGUAAAAAUUGAUAAAGUUUUUAAUA